This 65-nucleotide transfer RNA is filed under the name Dipodomys ordii (Ord's kangaroo rat). It matches the Rfam family "tRNA". Rfam says of the family: Transfer RNA (tRNA) molecules are approximately 80 nucleotides in length. Their secondary structure includes four short double-helical elements and three loops (D, anti-codon, and T loops). The record is from Rfam by way of RNAcentral. Lineage: Eukaryota; Metazoa; Chordata; Mammalia; Rodentia; Heteromyidae.
GGUGGGUCAGCGGUAGAGUGCAUGCCUUCUAAGCAUGAGGCCCUGGGUUCGAUUCCUCAGCACCA